GUGCCAGCAGCCGCGGUAACACGUAGGAUCCGAGCGUUAUCCGGAUUUACUGGGCGUAAAGCGCGUGUAGGUGGUUUGCUAAGUUGGGUGUUAAAUCUCUCGGCUCAACUGGGAGGUGUCGCUCAAAACUAGCAGACUGGAGGAUGGUAGAGGAAGGUGGAAUUCCGGGUGUAGUGGUGAAAUGCGUAGAUAUCCGGAGGAACACCAGUGGCGAAGGCGGCCUUCUGGACCAUUCCUGACACUCCAACGCGAAAGCUAGGGGAGCAAACGGGAUUAGAAACCCUCGUAGUCC
This 292-nucleotide ribosomal RNA is filed under the name uncultured bacterium. Its description in RNAcentral is "partial 16S ribosomal RNA". It matches the Rfam family "Bacterial small subunit ribosomal RNA", at positions 505 to 796 of the family's 1533-position model. The record is from RNAcentral.